GACGAACGCUGGCGGCGUGCUUAACACAUGCAAGUCGAACGGAAAGGCCCCUUUGGGGGUCCUCGAGUGGCGAACGGGUGAGUAACACGUGAGUAACCUGCCCUUGACUUCGGGAUAACUUCAGGAAACUGGGGCUAAUACCGGAUAGGAAUCCUUGCUGCAUGGUGGGGGUUGGAAAGCUUCGGCGGUUUUGGAUGGACUCGCGGCUUAUCAGCUUGUUGGUGGGGUAGUGGCUUACCAAGGCUUUGACGGGUAGCCGGCCUGAGAAGGCGACCGGCCACAUUGGGACUGAGAUACGGCCCAGACUCCUACGGGAGGCAGCAGUGGGGAAUAUUGCACAAUGGGCGGAAGCCUGAUGCAGCAACGCCGCGUGCGGGAUGACGGCCUUCGGGUUGUAAACCGCUUUCAGCAGGGGCGAAGCUUGUGGUGACGGUACCUGCAGAAGAAGCACCGGCUAACUACGUG
This 465-nucleotide ribosomal RNA is filed under the name uncultured bacterium. RNAcentral describes it as "partial 16S ribosomal RNA". It matches the Rfam family "Bacterial small subunit ribosomal RNA", at positions 28 to 507 of the family's 1533-position model. The record is from RNAcentral.